Molecule: transfer RNA, 69 nt
Filed under: Limnephilus hyalinus
Lineage: Eukaryota; Metazoa; Arthropoda; Insecta; Trichoptera; Limnephilidae
Description: tRNA-Leu
Source: RNAcentral
AUUAUUUUGGCAGAAAAAUGCAUUAAAUUUAGAAUUUAAGUAUAUGAAUAAGUUUUAUCAUAAAUAAUA